UACAGAGGUCCCAAGCGUUGUUCGGAUUCACUGGGCGUAAAGGGUGCGUAGGUGGUCGGGUAAGUCUGAUGUGAAAUCUCCGAGCUCAACUCGGAAAUGGCAUUGGAUACUAUUCGGCUAGAGGGUUUGAGGGGGGACUGGAAUACUUGGUGUAGCAGUGAAAUGCGUAGAUAUCAAGUGGAACACCAGUGGCGAAGGCGAGUCCCUGGAAAACUCCUGACACUGAGGCGCGAAAGCGAGGGGAGCAAACAGG
This 253-nucleotide ribosomal RNA is filed under the name uncultured bacterium. RNAcentral describes it as "partial 16S ribosomal RNA". It matches the Rfam family "Bacterial small subunit ribosomal RNA", at positions 524 to 776 of the family's 1533-position model. The record is from RNAcentral.